AUCAUCACCAUGAGACUCCACAAGAAUGUGAUGUAUGCUGGAUGCUGCUGUUCUGUGUGUGUCCAGCUUUUGCUGUCCUCUCCUCUCUUCUCUCCUCGCUUCUGGUUUAUCACCUCUGUCAGAAAAAAGCUAAAGAACCUCAAGUUGAUCAGCAAAGACCUCAAACAGGACUGAAUCAGGAUGAAGAUGUGUGUUAUGCUGCAGUGGAAAUCCGUCAGGCAUCACAGAGACCAAAGAAGAAGAAAACCUAAAACCUAAAGCCUAAAACAAGACAACGACAUAAUAGAUAGUGAUGAUUGAUGACGCAUUGAGUAAUACAUUUGGAGGAAUACAUAUAGAUCAUUCUGUUACUUAACUUUUGCUUAAAGCUGAGCAACAGUCAUCAUUAACUGUGACUGAUAUGUACAAAAUGUUGUAUACAUAAAAUACGAUUGAUUUGUUGUUGUUUGUGUGUUUUCGAUGACUGAAAGUAAUUAUGUUUUCUAUGAGUUCAAACUAAACUCUGCCUCCAAUUUCCUUACACCACUUGUUGUAAAAAUAAAUAAA
This is a non-coding RNA of Epinephelus lanceolatus (giant grouper), 546 nucleotides long. The record is from RefSeq and is a predicted model, not a curated record. Lineage: Eukaryota; Metazoa; Chordata; Actinopteri; Perciformes; Serranidae.